This 2704-nucleotide long non-coding RNA is filed under the name Malus domestica (apple). RNAcentral describes it as "long non-coding RNA (MDOM_LNC019780)". Lineage: Eukaryota; Viridiplantae; Streptophyta; Magnoliopsida; Rosales; Rosaceae. The record is from RNAcentral.
ACAAAACCGGAGGGGUCUUGGAACAACGUAAAUCCGACCAUGAAUCUGCAAGAAAGUAAAUAACACAAGAUGUAUCGUGGUUCACCCCAAUGUUUGGGCUAUGUCCAUACUGAUAUUGUAUUUCUUUAAGAGGAUUGUGAGGGAGAGAGCCUCUGUAAUGUGAGAGUGAGGGUUCUCUUCCCAGGGCCUAAGAAUUGGCCUCCCUUAAUGAGGAGAGUGAGGAGUCCUUUUAUAGAAUAAGGGCUCCUCACUUAUUACAUAUUUACCCCUUCAUUAUUACAUAAUUACAUUUGAGUCCCCCGAGUAUUUAUACGAGAUCUAAAUACGGAGGCCCUAAGUAUGGUACAAACACACCACAUGUCACACAAUUGUAUACAUGGCAUGUGACUCAACAAAUUGGAAGAAAUACCCUUGGAGGAUUAAACAAGUUUUUCUUCUCAUUUUUGGGCAAUGACAAGGCAAGCACACUUCAAUCCAUUAUGGAUGAAACAAGUUUUUCUUCUCAUUUUGGGCAAUGACAAGGUAAGCACAUUUCAAUCCAUUACGGAUCAAAACAAGUUUUUCUCAUUUGGGCAAUGACAAAACAAGCACACUUCAAGUUUAAAAUUGUAUCAAGUGGGAAAAUUAGGCCAUAAGUUUGACCACUUCAAGUUUAAAAUGGUAUUAAGUGGGAAGUUAGGCCAUAUGUUAGACCACUUCAAUUUCAAUAUUGCAUUAAGUGGGAAAAUUAGGUGAUGGUGCUUAAGUGGGAAAAUUUUGUGGUGGUGGUUCAUUCUCAAAGCCUAUAAAUAGGCUUCUCCAUCAAGGUAUCAAUCAUCCUAAAAUUCACAAAUACAUUUCUCUACUCCUAAAUUAGAAGAGAGUUCCCAGAAACCUUGAAGCUUUAAAACUCUAAAGCUCUCAUGCAAAUCCCGAAGGAUCAAGAAAGCCUUCUUCGUUCUUCGUCAAAUCCUUCUUCAAGAUCAAACCCCAAUGGCCCUUGAAGAACUUCCACCAAUUCAAGAUCAAGCCUCGACGGCCUUUGAAGAAAGUGUUCAUCGUUCAUUAUCCGGUCAUCCUAAGAUCAAGCCCCAACGACCCCUUUAGAUCAACAACAUCAACAAAUCCACACAUCCCCAUUCUUCAAGAUCAAGCCCAAAAGCCCUUGAAGAUCCGUUCAUCCCCGUUCUUCAAGAUCAAGCCGAAAAGCCCUUGAAGAUCUGUUCAUCCUCAAACCUUCAAGAUCAAGCCCAAAAGCCUUGAAGAUCCGUUCAUCCCCGUUCUUCAAGAUCAAGCCCAAAAGUCCUUGAAGAUCUAUUCAUCCUCAAACCUUCAAGAUCAAGCCCAAAAGCCCUUGAAUGAACUUCCCUCAACCUUCAAGAUCAAGCCUCGAGGGCUCUUCAAGAAACUUCCAACAGUUCAUCCAAAAUCAAGCCUCGACGGCCCUUGGAUCAACCUCACAUCCACAAAUCAACACCUUACAGAGAUCGAAUCAGAGGAUUAAGUUAUAAAGAGAUUGUAACCCUACAAAUCCAUUAACACCAAAACCUUUCUUUGUACACAUUGUUCAUGUUUCAGGAAUUUCCAUGUUCACAGUUUCAUCGGUUAGGCUUUUGUUCUACAAUGGAGAGUGAGAGUGGUUUAGAGAGUUGAAGAAGAUAAAUAAUCUUGUGAUAUACAUGUUAAAAGUGAUUUGGGGUGUAUUUAGUAUUUUUAAACCUUAUAAGGUUGAAAUUGUCAUUGCAAAAUAGAGUAUUUAAAUCAUUUAAUAUUAAAUUUUAAUGUGGGGUGUUAAUAAAAAAAACCUUAUUAUUAUUAUUAUUAUUAUUAUUUUGAACAAAUGAUAUUAUCUACAUAAAGGGGGGUGAUUAUAUUGAAUGCCUCCAAAUGUAGAAAAACUCAAUGACAAGGUGGUUGCCGAUUUUAUGAUGAUUUCACCUUCUUCUCUAUGGUUGGUGUGACCAAUUAUGAGAAUAUACUACUCUAGAGAAUGAAUUUGAAUGCUUGUACGGCAACAUGAUUCAUUUAAUACAAACGAUAUUGAGUGACGGAUGAAUUAUCUUAACCAAUACGAUGCAUGUUUGUUGCAUGUAUAGUAAGAAAAAAAAAUCUUAAAGAAAUAAUUCCAUAACUUAAGAGCCUCAAUCAAAUUAGGUGACAUGUGAUUUUUCAUUUGAAUUUUAAUGAAUAUAAGUUAUAUAACAUUUGUUCAUCUCAUAUGUCACGCUCUCUCGAGAUACAUUCAAGAUUAAUACCCAACAAAAACAAGUAGUGGUACAAUAAUAUAUAGAAACAGUCGGAACUCAUACAUAAUAUACAUUAGCUAUUUAACAUAAAUAAAAUUAUAAUAAAUCUUAGAGUAGGAUGGCACAUCAUCAAUACUUGACCUCCAACCCUUUCAUACUAGACAUUGAAAAUAUUUAACAAACAAUUUAAAAUGUUUUAUGCCUAAUUUUAGAUUACUAGUUGAUUAUAAGAUUGAUAGCUAGAUAUGUGACAAUAUAAUUUAGGGUAAAUUACACUUUACCACCUCAAGUUUGAGGUCUAUUACAAUCUCAUACAACAUCUUCAAAACAUUUCACUUUCAUACCUCAAGUACUAUUUUACUUCAAUAUAAUACAUCCAUUACAUUUUCCAUCCGUUAUUCUGUUAAGAGAUGAUGUAGCUACCACAUUUAUGCCACGUGGCUGCCACAUUUGUGCCACGUGGCUAAAAAAUAUUUUUU